AAGGCUGUAUGCAGGACUGGAGCUUUGUUUACGGAGGCGUGCCGCCUUUUCUACCCCAGCUCUGUUUGACGUGCCUCAUCUAUCUGACUUGUUUUGCGGCAGGAAUUGAGUCGUCCAGCCCUGAAGUACUAAGACGUGACCUCCCACUUCAUCGAUCCUGACCCCUGCACUUGUCCUCCAGACCACCAGGGUGCACACUUCUGACUGGGGAGAAUCCAAUCACCGUGAAUCAGGAAAUGUCCAGCCCCCCGAGCAGACACCGUGAAAUGGGUUCAGAUGUGGUUCAAGGCCCUGGGCUCACUUUACUCCCAACCAGUGGAAAUGGACCCUCAACGCAGUUUCAGCAGCAACGUCAGAAUGAGGCGCUAGCUCAGGAAGCCAGGAUCACGCCGCUUACCUUUGCAAUCGAUAGCCCAAUCGUCAGAACUGAUUGGGUUCUGCAUCGCUCACCGCCGGUUUGCCUCCUGUGCACGUCCCCGUCUUGCUGAUUGACAGCAUAAACUCAUGAAGUUGUCUUAUGGCUCUGAACACGUUGGGGAUAGUGAGUGGCCACCAGUUACAGGGUUUUCACUGUUAAUGUUGUAUUCCGUGGAAAUUUUCGGAAUACGUUUGACAGGUACCAGAAGCAUCAGGCCGUCCAAACCCCCAUGCCCUGUCAAUUUUUGCACAGCAGCGAGACCCAGUGGUUUGCUCAUAGUUCCCAGAACC
Molecule: long non-coding RNA, 708 nt
Organism: Brienomyrus brachyistius
Lineage: Eukaryota; Metazoa; Chordata; Actinopteri; Osteoglossiformes; Mormyridae
Exons: 3
Source: RefSeq, a predicted model, not a curated record